Molecule: ribosomal RNA, 253 nt
Filed under: uncultured bacterium
Lineage: Bacteria
Description: partial 16S ribosomal RNA
Rfam family: Bacterial small subunit ribosomal RNA
Source: RNAcentral
GACAGAGGUGCCAAGCGUUAGGCGGAAUCACUGGGCUUAAAGCGUGUGUAGGCGGGUGCCUAAGUACCUUGUGAAAUCCCACGGCUCAACCGUGGAACGGCUGGGUAUACUGGGUGCCUUGGGUCAUCCAGGGGUUGCCGGAACAAAUGGUGGAGCGGUGAAAUGCGCAGAUAUCAGGAGGAACACCGGUGGCGAAGGCGGGUCUCUGGGCCGAUACUGACGCUGAGGAGCGAAAGCGUGGGGAGCGAACGGG